UUUGAUCCUGGCUCAGGAUGAACGCUAGCUACAGGCUUAACACAUGCAAGUCGAGGGGAAACGACAUUGAAAGCUUGCUUUUAAUGGGCGUCGACCGGCGCACGGGUGCGUAACGCGUAUCGAACCUGCCCUUUACUCAGGGAUAGCCUUGCGAAAGUAAGAUUAAUACCUGAUAGUGUUGCGAUGAGGCAUCUUGUUGCAACUAAAGAUUUAUUGGUAAAGGAUGGCGAUGCGUCUGAUUAGGUAGUAGGCGGGGUAAUGGCCCACCUAGCCGACGAUCAGUAGGGGUUCUGAGAGGAAGGUCCCCCACAUUGGAACUGAGACACGGUCCAAACUCCUACGGGAGGCAGCAGUGAGGAAUAUUGGUCAAUGGGCGAGAGCCUGAACCAGCCAAGUAGCGUGCAGGAAGACGGCCCUCUGGGUUGUAAACUGCUUUUAGUUGGGAACAAAAAAGGCGACGUGUCGCCUCUGAAGUGUACCAUCAGAAAAAGGACCGGCUAAUUCCGUGCCAGCAGCCGCGGUAAUACGGAAGGUCCAGGCGUUAUCCGGAUUUAUUGGGUUUAAAGGGAGCGUAGGCGGACGAUUAAGUCAGCUGUGAAAGUUUGCGGCUCAACCGUAAAAUUGCAGUUGAAACUGGUUGUCUUGAGUGCACGCAGGGAUGUUGGAAUUCAUGGUGUAGCGGUGAAAUGCUUAGAUAUCAUGAAGAACUCCGAUCGCNAANGGCAUAUGUCUGGAGUGCAACUGACGCUGAGGCUCGAAAGUGCGGGUAUCGAACAGGAUUAGAUACCCUGGUAGUCCGCACAGUAAACGAUGAAUACUCGCAGUGUGCGAUAUACUGUAUGCUGCCAAGUGAAAACGUUAAGUAUUCCACCUGGGGAGUACGCCGGCAACGGUGAAACUCAAAGGAAUUGACGGGGGCCCGC
Molecule: ribosomal RNA, 923 nt
Filed under: uncultured bacterium
Lineage: Bacteria
Description: bacterial SSU rRNA
Rfam family: Bacterial small subunit ribosomal RNA
Source: RNAcentral